Molecule: ribosomal RNA, 1969 nt
Filed under: human gut metagenome
Description: bacterial LSU rRNA
Rfam family: Bacterial large subunit ribosomal RNA
Source: RNAcentral
GUGAACAACUAAGGGCGCGCGGUGGAUGCCUAGGCUCUCGGAGGCGAUGAAGGACGCGAUAAGCCGCGAUAGGCCACGGCGAGGUGCAAGUAACCCUUGACCCGUGGAUUUCCGAAUGGGGCAACCCGGCCGUCUAGAUGACGGUCAUGCAUUAUCAUGCAGGCGAACGCGGGGAACUGAAACAUCUCAUUACCCGCAGGAGAAGAAAACAAAAUGUGAUUCCCCCAGUAGUGGCGAGCGAACGGGGAAGAGCCCAAACCGUUGCCGUUUCGGCGACAGCGGGGUCAUGGGACCGCGAUACUCGACGGAAGACGAAGUGCAAUUACCUGGAAAGGUAAGCCGUGGAGGGUGACAGCCCCGUGCACGACACCUCUUUCGAAGAUAGCGGUAUCCCGAGUAGGGCGGGACACGAGAAAUCCUGCCUGAAUUCGCCAGGACCUCCUGGCAAGGCUAAAUACUCCCGAGAGACCGAUAGUGAACCAGUACCGCGAGGGAAAGGUGAAAAGUACCCCGAGCAGGGGGGUGAAAUAGACCCUGAACCCGCGCGCCUACAAGCGGUCGGAGCCAUGAAAUAUGGUGACGGCGUGCCUUUUGCAUAAUGAGCCUACGAGUUAGUCGUCACCAGCGAGGUUAAGGGCUUCAGGCCCGUUAGCCGAAGUGAAAGCGAGCCUUAACAGGGCGUCGAGUUGGUGGCGCUAGACGCGAAACCUUGUGAUCUACCCACGAGCAGGUUGAAGUCGCGGUAACACGUGAUGGAGGACCGAACCGGUAAACGUUGAAAAGUUUUCGGAUGACUCGCGGGUAGGGGUGAAAGGCCAAUCAAACUGGGAAAUAGCUCGUACUCUCCGAAAUGCAUUUCGGUGCAGCCUGUGAUGUUCUGUUCCAGAGGUAGAGCUACUGGUUGGACGCGAGGGCUUCACCGCCUAUCAAAUCCGGAUAAACUCCGAAUGCUGGAACACGAAAUCAUGGAGUGAGCCCGCGGGUGCUAAGGUCCGCGGACGAGAGGGAAAGAACCCGGACCACCGGCUAAGGUCCCGGAUGGACAGUUAAGUUGAUCAAACGAGGUGGGAUCGCGGAGACAGCUAGGAUGUUGGCUUGGAAGCAGCCAUUCAUUUAAAGAGUGCGUAACAGCUCACUAGUCGAGCGAUCCCGCGUGGAUAAUACACGGGCAUCAAACUGUCAACCGAAGCCGUGGGGUUAGUGAUGAGCUAACCGGUAGGAGAGCAUUCCUGCCAGCUUUGAAGGUCACCCGCGAGAGUGACUGGAGCGGCAUGAAAAGCAAAUGUAGGCAUAAGUAACGAUAAUGGGGGCGAGAACCCCCCACGCCGCAAGACCAAGGAUUCCCCGGCAAUGUCAAUCAGCCGGGGGUCAGCCGGCCUCUAAGGCUCACCCGAGGGGGGAUGCCGACGAGAAACGGGUUAACAUUCCCGUGCUUCUCGUCACCGUGACGCGGUGACGGGGUGAUGAAUGGACCGCGCGCUGACGGAAUAGCGCGUUGAAGGCCGUACCCUAUGACGGUGGUAGUCAAGCACGCCACCGGAGGCGAGAGCCGAUAGUACCACGAGACCCCGGUCGAGUGGAUAGCGUCCAGGCAAUUUACCCCCGAGAAAACCCGCUAAACUUCAAGUGACGAGGAACCGUACUGUAAACGGACACACGUGGUCGGGUAGAAUAUACCAAGGCGCUCGAGUGAUUCAUGGUCAAGGAACUAGGCAAAAUAGUCCUGUAACCUCGGGAAAAAGGACGCUCUAGUGAUAGAGCCGCAGAGUAAUGGCCCAGGCGACUGUUUACCAAAAACACAUGGCUAUGCCAAAUCGAAAGAUGACGUAUAUGGCCUGACACCUGCCCGGUGCCGGAAGGUUAAGAGGAGAGCUCAUCGGAAACGAGAAGGUUUGAAUUGAAGCCCCGGUAAACGGCGGCCGUAACUAUAACGGUCCUAAGGUAGCGAAAUUCCUUGUCGGGUAAGUUC